UACGAAGGUCCCGAGCGUUAUUCGGAAUCACUGGGCGUAAAGGGAGCGUAGGCGGCGCGGUAAGUCGGAUGUGAAAUCCCGGGGCUCAACCCCGGAACUGCAUCUGAUACUGCCGUGCUAGAGUAAUGGAGGGGUAGCUGGAAUUCUUGGUGUAGCAGUGAAAUGCGUGGAUAUCAAGAGGAACACUCGUGGCGAAAGCGAGCUACUGGACAUUCACUGACGCUGAGGCUCGAAGGCCAGGGGAGCGAAAGGG
RNAcentral lists this ribosomal RNA (253 nucleotides) under uncultured bacterium. RNAcentral describes it as "partial 16S ribosomal RNA". It matches the Rfam family "Bacterial small subunit ribosomal RNA", at positions 524 to 776 of the family's 1533-position model. The record is from RNAcentral.